UACGUAGGGGGCGAGCGUUGUCCGGAUUUAUUGGGCGUAAAAGGCUUGUAGGUGGCCACGUCAAGUCGGAUGUGAAAUCCCUCGGCUCAACCAAGGAAGUGCAUCCGAAACUGCUGAGCUUGAGUACUUAAGAGGAUCGCGGAAUUCCCGGUGUAGAGGUGAAAUUCGUAGAUAUCUGGAGGAACACCGGUGGCGAAGGCGGCAUCCUGGACCAACACUGACGCUGAGGAGCGAAAGCCAGGGGAGCAAACGGG
RNAcentral lists this ribosomal RNA (254 nucleotides) under uncultured bacterium. Its description in RNAcentral is "partial 16S ribosomal RNA". It matches the Rfam family "Bacterial small subunit ribosomal RNA", at positions 524 to 776 of the family's 1533-position model. The record is from RNAcentral.